CCCGCACUCGCUCGUCCUCCACCCCUCCCGUGGCCACCAGCCCACCACAUGCCGCCGCCAUCUCCUACAUCCACCGGCUGCCACCUUCGCCUGCUCCUCCCUCCCCCACAUCUCCCUCCCUCCCACGCAGCCGCCUCCCUCCCUCGCUCGCUCCUCAUCUGUAGACAGCGGCGGCGGCUCCCGUGCCCACGUUCUUCCUCCCACCAACCACCAACUCCUCCCCAUCGCCAUGGACGAGCUUGAGCUCCAGGUGCUCCUUCUCUACCUAGAAGCCCAAGGGUGUUCAAGGCGACAAGGGGAUCAACCUCAACCUGCCAACCCUAGCUGCCCCCAUGCCACCGCCGGCUCCUUCUCCCGGCCUGCCGGAUCCCGCCGUCCGCAUCCCCGGCGUUGUCGCCGUAGCCGUCAUCCUCGUGUGCACUCGACAGGAGAAGUGCGGCUCUCCUCUUAGCCCGUCUCGGUUCUCUAUUGCUCUCACAGUCCCCUUUCCAAACCCUAACCCUCCUCUUCUUCAUUAACUGCCGGCGAUUGGCAAGGGGAGCACAAGUCGAGGUGCGCCGCCUUCGAUUCUGCAGUGUGCCUGAUGGCUGCUUCUGCAGUAGCAGCGGCGGCAAGCCUUGGAAUGGCUCGGGACACCAGAAGCGGGCAACGAAGGCCAUUGCCAGGUUGGUAUUGUUCCAGACAUCGAAGAUUGUUGAUGUGUGAAGGCCGAGGGAAAAAUGUUAGUAACUACAAAGAGGGUACCAGCAUAAUCAAAUAAGAAUAGUUCACCAGGUGUAAAGGAAGUGGAGUGUGAACCCAGUGUUUCUUUUGACUACUCCAAGUCUGAAAUGAAUUCUAUGGAGAGGAAAAUGUUGAACCGGGUGCUUGAAGUAAAGGAGGAGCAUCCUAAGAAGCAGGUGUAAAUUUUGCCCUUAUGUCCUAUGAAAAGCUUACCAUUUCACGUCUUCAGUCAGGUUUGAGAAAAAGAUCAGAGUUUCAUCUGUUGUGAAAGUGGAAGUUGCAGCUCCAGAAAAUUGGGAAGCAGUUCUUGGAGGUAUUAAAAACAUUAGGUUAUCUGGCCAAGCCCCCGUAGAUACAAAGGGCCGUGAGAAGGCUGGUUCUCUUCUUCCACCCAAGGUAUUCGUCAAUUGUCAGAGAGUUGUUCAGAUUCAAAAGUGUAGUUUACGAAGUCCAUGGACUAUGAAAAAUACAUGAGGAUGUGAUCAUCUUUACGGAGAGUGUGGGUUUUAUGUAAUUUGAAAAUUCCCUUAAUUUUCUUGUGCUAUGCUACCAUUUGAAAUGUUUACUAGCUAGAAAGAAAAUGCAGCCUGUACAUGGGUUCAUGGCUAAUGGAUUGCAGAUUGGCCAUGGAUUUGGGCCUACUAAUCCACUAAUUUUUGACUGAUCUCA
Molecule: long non-coding RNA, 1392 nt
Organism: Triticum dicoccoides
Lineage: Eukaryota; Viridiplantae; Streptophyta; Magnoliopsida; Poales; Poaceae
Exons: 5
Source: RefSeq, a predicted model, not a curated record